RNAcentral lists this ribosomal RNA (253 nucleotides) under uncultured bacterium. RNAcentral describes it as "partial 16S ribosomal RNA". It matches the Rfam family "Bacterial small subunit ribosomal RNA", at positions 524 to 776 of the family's 1533-position model. The record is from RNAcentral.
UACGUAGGGUGCGAGCGUUGUCCGGAAUUAUUGGGCGUAAAGAGCUCGUAGGCGGCCUGUCACGUCGGAUGUGAAAACCCGGGGCUCAACCCCGGGCCUGCAUUCGACACGGGCAGGCUAGAGUUCGGCAGGGGAGACUGGAAUUCCUGGUGUAGCGGUGAAAUGCGCAGAUAUCAGGAGGAACACCGGUGGCGAAGGCGGGUCUCUGGGCCGAUACUGACGCUGAGGAGCGAAAGCGUGGGGAGCGAACAGG